GCGAGAAUCACAGUGCGGUUCUCCUCUGGCAUGAACGACGGCUGGAGCAGCUUGCCACAUGGCUCGGCCACGGCCCUUGCUUGCCAAAGGAGAAUUGCCCUGCCAUUCGGAA
MicroRNA precursor from Sorghum bicolor (sorghum), 112 nucleotides. It matches the Rfam family "mir-399 microRNA precursor family". Rfam says of the family: mir-399 was identified in both Arabidopsis thaliana and Oryza sativa computationally and was later experimentally verified. mir-399 is thought to target mRNAs coding for a phosphatase transporter. NCBI's taxonomy places the organism in Eukaryota, Viridiplantae, Streptophyta, Magnoliopsida, Poales, Poaceae. The record is from Rfam.